UGGGGAAUUUUGGACAAUGGGCGAAAGCCUGAUCCAGCAAUGCCGCGUGUGUGAAGAAGGCCUUCGGGUUGUAAAGCACUUUUGUCCGGAAAGAAAUCCUUGGCUCUAAUACAGUCGGGGGAUGACGGUACCGGAAGAAUAAGCACCGGCUAACUACGUGCCAGCAGCCGCGGUAAUACGUAGGGUGCAAGCGUUAAUCGGAAUUACUGGGCGUAAAGCGUGCGCAGGCGGUUUGCUAAGACCGAUGUGAAAUCCCCGGGCUCAACCUGGGAACUGCAUUGGUGACUGGCAGGCUAGAGUAUGGCAGAGGGGGGUAGAAUUCCACGUGUAGCAGUGAAAUGCGUAGAGAUGUGGAGGAAUACCGAUGGCGAAGGCAGCCCCCUGGGCCAAUACUGACGCUCAUGCACGAAAGCGUGGGGAGCAAACAGGAUUAGAUACCCUGGUAGUCCACGCCCUAAACGAUGUCAACUAGCUGUUGGGGAUUCAUUUCCUUAGUAACGUAGCUAACGCGUGAAGUUGACCGCCUGGGGAGUACGGUCGCAAGAUUAAAACUUAAAUGAAUUGACGGGGUCAUAGCUGUUUCCU
This 585-nucleotide ribosomal RNA is filed under the name uncultured bacterium. RNAcentral's name for it is "partial 16S ribosomal RNA". It matches the Rfam family "Bacterial small subunit ribosomal RNA", at positions 355 to 1375 of the family's 1533-position model. The record is from RNAcentral.